GAUGAACGCUGGCGGCGUGCCUAAUACAUGCAAGUCGAGCGAACAGACGAGGAGCUUGCUCCUCUGACGUUAGCGGCGGACGGGUGAGUAACACGUGGAUAACCUACCUAUAAGACUGGGAUAACUUCGGGAAACCGGAGCUAAUACCGGAUAAUAUAUUGAACCGCAUGGUUCAAUAGUGAAAGACGGUUUUGCUGUCACUUAUAGAUGGAUCCGCGCCGCAUUAGCUAGUUGGUAAGGUAACGGCUUACCAAGGCAACGAUGCGUAGCCGACCUGAGAGGGUGGUCGGCCACACUGGAACUGAGACACGGUCCAGACUCCUACGGGAGGCAGCAGUAGGGAAUCUUCCGCCAUGGGCGAAAGCCUGACGGAGCAACGCCGCGUGAGUGAUGAAGGUCUUCGGAUCGUAAAACUCUGUUAUUAGGGAAGAACAAAUGUGUAAGUAACUAUGCACGUCUUGACGGUACCUAAUCAGAAAGCCACGGCUAACUACGUG
Molecule: ribosomal RNA, 497 nt
Filed under: uncultured bacterium
Lineage: Bacteria
Description: partial 16S ribosomal RNA
Rfam family: Bacterial small subunit ribosomal RNA
Source: RNAcentral